Molecule: ribosomal RNA, 393 nt
Filed under: uncultured bacterium
Lineage: Bacteria
Description: partial 16S ribosomal RNA
Rfam family: Bacterial small subunit ribosomal RNA
Source: RNAcentral
AUACGGAGGAUGCGAGCGUUAUCCGGAUUUAUUGGGUUUAAAGGGUGCGUAGGCGGACGAUUAAGUCAGCUGUGAAAUGCCCGCGCUUAACGCGGGAAGUGCAGUUGAUACUGGUUGUCUGGAGUGCCGUUGCCGUGGGGGGAAUGUGUAGUGUAGCGGUGAAAUGCAUAGAUAUUACACAGAACGCCGAUUGUGAAGACACCUCACGAAGCGGUAACUGACGCUGAGGCACGAAAGCGUGGGGAUCGAACAGGAUUAGAUACCCUGGUAGUCCACGCAGUAAACGAUGAUCACUAGCUGUUUGCGAUACACUGUAAGCGGCACAGCGAAAGCGUUAAGUGAUCCACCUGGGGAGUACGCCGGCAACGGUGAAACUCAAAUGAAUUGGCGGGG